Molecule: ribosomal RNA, 497 nt
Filed under: uncultured bacterium
Lineage: Bacteria
Description: partial 16S ribosomal RNA
Rfam family: Bacterial small subunit ribosomal RNA
Source: RNAcentral
GAUGAACGCUGGCGGCGUGCCUAAUACAUGCAAGUCGAGCGAACAGACGAGGAGCUUGCUCCUCUGACGUUAGCGGCGGACGGGUGAGUAACACGUGGAUAACCUACCUAUAAGACUGGGAUAACUUCGGGAAACCGGAGCUAAUACCGGAUAAUAUAUUGAACCGCAUGGUUCAAUAGUGAAAGACGGUGUUGCUGUCACUUAUAGAUGGAUCCGCGCCGCAUUAGCUAGUUGGUAAGGUAACGGCUUACCAAGGCAACGAUGCGUAGCCGACCUGAGAGGGUGAUCGGCGACACUGGAACUGGGACACGGUCCAGACUCCUACGGGAGGCAGCAGUAGGGAAUCUUCCGCAAUGGGCGAGAGCCUGACGGAGCAACGCCGCGUGAGUGAUGAAGGUCUUCGGAUCGUAAAACUCUGUUAUUAGGGAAGAACAAAUGUGUAAGUAACUAUGCACGUCUUGACGGUACCUAAUCAGAAAGCAACGGCUAACUACGUG